This is a long non-coding RNA of Xiphophorus hellerii (green swordtail), 211 nucleotides long. RefSeq lists it as uncharacterized. The record is from RefSeq and is a predicted model, not a curated record. Lineage: Eukaryota; Metazoa; Chordata; Actinopteri; Cyprinodontiformes; Poeciliidae. The transcript has 3 exons.
UGUUUGUACAGAAAAAAAGGUGACAAAUUAGGAUUUCAUUAAACCAGAUUCCUAGAAUAGCUUGAGUUAGUCCACUUUGACGUAUACCUAUAUCGGCUUCGAUAGUCCAACUGGCCUGAAGGAUUUUAUCUAGCAGGUGCUUUUGUUCAGUAAAUAGGGCCAUUACCUUAUCAGUACCCUGGUAAUGGCCUCAACGCAUCUCACAGUUGCA